Molecule: long non-coding RNA, 9560 nt
Filed under: Homo sapiens (human)
Lineage: Eukaryota; Metazoa; Chordata; Mammalia; Primates; Hominidae
Description: HSALNT0326598
Source: RNAcentral
CAAGCUGCCAGUUUAUGGAGAUCUCAGUAGGAGGUCUUUGGGCUAAUCAUUUAGAGCACCACACAGCAACUGCUGAGUUUGUAUCUUCCCUGGGAUUAGAAAAAUAAAGUUUUUGGCCAAGUCAUUCUCUCUCAAAGCUACUAUACAAAUGGUUCCAGAAGGUAUUCAGGACAGUGCUCCCAGGAUUUUUAAGGCCUGAAACAAAUGUACAUUUCUUCUAGCUAAUAAAUUCCUCAAAUAAUGAGUGAAAUAGGUACAAGUACUCAGUUUUCUCUAAAAACAAAACAAAACAAAAACAAAAAACUAUUUGGUUUUAAGAGUUAUACUCAUAACAAGACUUUGUUUUGUUUUGUUUUGUUUGUCUGUGGGCCUUGACUAAUUGAUAUAGUGUUUCUGUAUGAGAGAACAAAGGACUACAUAUAGGUCAAAUAUUGGAGAUUAACAAGGUGUUGGGGGAAUCACUUUUGUUUGCCUGUGUGCCCACCCUAAUCUUAUCUUGAAUUGUAACUCCCACAAUUCCUAUAUGUCAUGGGAGGAACCCAGUGGGAGGUGAUUGAAUAUGGGUGGGUGGGUGUUUCCUGUGCUAUUCUUGUGAUUGACAGUGAAUGAGUCUCACAAGAUCUGACGGUUUUUAAAAACGGGAGUUUCCCUGCACAAAUUUGCUUGCUGGCAACCAUGUGAGAUGGGACUUUCUCCUCCUUGACUUUCGCCAUGAUUGUGAGGCCUUCCCAGCCAUGUGGAACUAUCACUCAUUCUGGGGGCAGCCCUCUGGCAUGUAAUGAGCAGUCCUAUGGAGAGGCCCAUGUGACAGUAGCCAUGCGAGUGACACUGGAAGUGAAACCUGCAGCUCCAGUCAAGCCUUUAGAAGACUGCAGCCCUGGCUGACAGCUUGACAGCAAACUCAUGAGAGACUCUCAGCUUGAACAACUCAGCUAAACUGUUCCUGGGUUCCUGGUCCUCAAAAACUGUACGAGAUGAAAAAAAAGUUUGUUUUUUUAAGCUGCCAAGUUUUGGGAUAAUUUGUUAUUCUAAUAUAUUUUUUAAUACCUGGAAGUAAGGUGCUACCAUAAUAAAUACCUAAAAUGUAGGCACAGCUAGGAAACUAGACAGUGGAGGUAGCUGGAAAGAAUUUAAGAAGCAUAGCAGUGAAAGUCUCAGGAGCCUUGAACAAAACAUUAGAAAAACUUUGGACUUUGACCAGGCUGCUGGUGGAGGUUUAAAAGAAAGUGAGAAAAAUCUUGUUGAAAACAGAACAGGGAAUCCUUACUAUGGAGUGGCAUAAAUCUUAGCAAUAUUGUUGUCUGCAAUAAUGUGGGUGGUGGGAAUGUACCUGGUAAACUGGGUGAUCUAAUUUGCUAUUCAUAAAGACAUAAAGAUUCUCAGCUUUUACAGAUGGUGAAAAAUGCUAAAUUAAGAAAUGGCUGAAGGACAGAGGUCAAAUCCUGGGCACCAUCAUGAAAACAUAAUCCAAAGAUGAAGCUGAGAUGUGACUAUAAAUCCUUUGUUAUGACCUCAGAAAGAUCAAAAGUGGUGCCUCAGAGUACCAGUUUGGUCACACAAAGGCCCUCUAAAGUUUUUAAGGCUGUGACUCACAGAUUCUUUCAAAAACAGGGCUCCUGAGAAGCUUAAGAGCAUAGUUUUUCAGCAGAAUCACAAGGUGGGAAAGGGAUUAUCUCAAAAAGAUUUUUGGGCGUGACUUUUGUCUAAUGGAAUGGACCCCCAAAAAUUCAUAGGUGAUUCACAAAUUUUUUAAAAGAAUUAUAUUAGUAGAAACAUUGCCAACUAGAACUCAAAGGGAUAGAGACAGUAUGAAAUGAAAAAAGGCCUUGGUACUCACUUUGCCCCUGUUUCACUGCAGGUUAAGAAAAAAUUUCAGCUGCAUACAUGUACUAACUUUCAUGAAAAAGAAAGAAUAGCUAAGCAUGGUGACUCACUCCUGUAACCCCAGCACUUUGGGAGGACAAGGUGGGAAGACCACUUGAGCCCAGGAGUUUGAAUCAGCCUGGGCAACAUAGCAAGACUCUGUCUCUUUUUAAAAAAGGAUGACUCUGAAGGGGAAGCUAAAAGCCUCAGAGAAUAACUCAUGCGUAGAAAUAGGACUAAAUCCUAAGGCGAUUCCAACAUUUGCCUGGCUGGAUUUCAGAGCUGCUAUGGGGACAUAGUAGUGUGUCCAGUACCUUUCCUUUUUGAAUAUUAAUGCAUAUAGUGUUUAUUCCUGUUCCACCAUUGUGUGUUUGGGGUGUGUGUGUGUGUGUGUGUGUGUCUAUGUGUGUGCGUGUUAGUUUCAGAUUGAGAGGAAUUAUACCCAAGGAGCUAGAGUUAAGAAAUUAUACCUAAGGAACCUCUUGUGUACCUGGUCCUGAUUUAAAUGACAAGACUCUAGACUUUGAGUUGAUGCUGUAAUGAGACAAGAAUUUUAGAAAUGUUGAGAUGGAGUGGACGUGUUUUGCAUGUUGGAGGGACUUGAUUCACUGGAGCCUAGAAGGCAGACUAUGGUAGCCAGCCCUCAAGAUUGUCUCCUCCUGGUAUUCAUACCCUUGUAUAAUUCCCCUCCCACAUUGUACCAGAAUUUAUCUGUGUGACAGAAUAUGGCAGAAGUAAUGAUAUGUCACUUCUGAGAUUAGGUUAUAAAAGACAUUGUGGCUACCAUCUCUCAUCACUCACUCAAAGGGAAGCCAACCACCAUGCAAUGAGAAUCUCAGGUAAUGAGGACCUGAGACCUGUUGUCAAUCACGUGAAUAAGCUUGGGAGGAGAUUCUCCAGCCCCAGUCAAGCCUCAGAAGACUUCAGCCCUAGGUGACAGCUUGAUGAUAAUCUCGGGAGGCAGAACCACCCAACUAAGCCACUCCUGGAUUCCUGACCCUGACCCUGACCCUAGAAACAGUGUGAGCUGGAAUUCUGUGAAGCACAUGACCUCAAGUCUUUGGAUAAAUGGAAACGCAGCUUAUGCCGGAAAGGUAAAAUCUUGAUUCUUUUCUUUUAUUAAUUUUGAGAGUAGGCCAGGAACAGUGGCUCCCACCUGUAAUCCCAGCACUUUGGGAGGCCAAGGCAGGUGGAUCACUUGAGGUCAGGAGUUUGAGACCAGCCUGGCCAACAUGGUGAAACCCCAUCUCUACUAAAAACACAAAAUUAGCUGGGUGUGGUGGCGUGCACCUGUAAUCCCAGCUACUCAGGAGGCUGAGGCAGGAGAAUCGCUUGAACCCAGGAGGCAGAGGUUGCAGUGAGCUGAGAUCACACUACUGCACGCUAACCUGUGCAACAGAGGGAGACUUCAUCUCAAAACAAACACAAAAAAAAUUGAGAGUAGAGUUGGUGCCCUAGCCAACUCAGAUGGUGACCAAUGCGUUGAUCCCUGAGUAUUGUUGUGAACUACUGAAUGUUUAUAUAUUUAUGUUUCAAGCAGUGAUAUUGUUCCUUUUGGCUUGAAUUGUCACAACUUUGCCAGCAGAAGCCUUUUCAGUUUAGGUCCUGUGUACUUUUGACAUGACCUCUUUAAAGUUUGAUUAUUUCCCUGCUUUCUGGCAGAAAAUUAUGUCUUACUCAUUUUGUAAAUGUCCUGAUGUGGACCUAAAAUCAACUAUUUCUCAAAAGGAAUUUCUUUUAGUGGAGAAUGAUAUUUAAAAAUCACAAUUCAGGCACUAAAGGGGAUUUUACUCUUGAACAAGAGCUGAUUGCAAUCACGUAGGUUUUUCUUGGUGCCAUUUCAAUUUUCUAGCUGUGCACUAAUAGUUAUAAAUGUUUUUCCUGCAAAUUCUUUGAGAGAAAAUAUCAUUAUUGCAAAUAUAAAACUUGGUAUUCUUGACUCCAUUUUUCCUUAGGAAAAAUUUUUUUCUGCUUCUUUGAUAACAUAAAUAUUCUUUAGAAAUAAAACUAUUUAGUUUAGCCAAAUGAGUAGAGAAGUGAACGGGUAGAAGUACUAGGGAACUACCCUAGAUAUUUCAAAAUGCUCAACUACAAGGUUUUGGACUCAGAAGCUAUGCUUCAAAAUUUGUUUCUGUUUUCAAGUAUUAACAAAUUUAAAAGCAUAAACAUUUGUUCAUUUUUUGGUAGGAACCUUAAUGUUUUCCAUUUUGUAGAUUAUUUUAGGUAUAUGGAUAUUAACUAUUUUGUUUCUAUCCUUGGUUCAGAAAUCUGUUCAUUUUAUUUGUGGCUGUCAUUUGCAAUUCUUUAAAUUAACACAUGAAAAGAGAUCCAAUUCCAACUUUAUUAGUAGACAAAUGAUAUGCAAAUUAAAACAAGAAUAUUUUUAUUACAACAAAUUAGCAAAGACCUAAAAAAUUAUACUCCAUUCCAGGAAGUUUUAAAUGACAGUCUCACUUUUUUAUGCAUGCCCUGCUAUCAAGUUUCUGGGUUUUGGGUUUUUUUCUACUCGAUAUGUCUCCCAUUUUCUCCCUUCCUCAAUUACAGUAUCAGGGUCCCCCUCACCAUGCCCUCUAUUCUGACCUGCCAGGGUUGAACAGACACAAAGAUGCCCAGCAUAAAAUUCAGGAGCCCAUGAAUUAUUCUCUGUAAAGGGCCAGAUAGUAAAUAUUUCAACCUGUGAGAGCUAAGCAGCAAAAUCAAGAUAUUAUGUAAGUGCUAAGAGUACAGUAGCUCACGCCUAUAAUCCCAGCAUUUUGGGAGGCUGAGGCAGGAGGAUUUCUUGAGCUCAGGAGUUUGAGUCUAGCCUGAGCAACACAGUGAAACACCAUCUCUCUCACUCUUAAAAAAAAAAAAUGGUAGCUUGCACCUAUAGUACCAGCUACUCAGGAGGCUGAGGCAGGAGGGUCACUUCAGCCCAGGAGGUUAAGGCUGCAGUGAGCCAUGAUCAUGCUCUUGUAUUCCAGCCUGGACAACAAAGUAAGACUGUAUCUCAAAAAAUAAAUAAAAAAUAAAUAUAAAAUGUCACCAUUAAAGAUGUAAAAAUCUACUUUUAGGUUGGGGAGCUAUACCAAAAUAGGCAGCAGGCUAUAUACAGUUACCAACCCCCGGCUUAGAUACUCCUCAGAAAGGACUUAUUGCUCAGCUGAGAGGAGGAGUAUUAUCUAACAGCCCCCAGCAAUGAGUUUCAUCACGGUCCACUCCUCAACCCACCCUGCCCCUCCUCUAAACCCAUUCCACCUCUCCCAGUCAAUGACGGAGAGAGGCCUGGUCUCCUGCCGACAGCCAGCAAGGAAAAGCAACCUGAGUCCUAUAGCUGUAAGGAACGACAUUCUGCCAACAACCAGAAUGAACUAGAAAGUGGAUUCUUCCCCAGAGUCUCAAAAUAAGAGUCCAGCUCACACCUUGACUUGGGCUUUCUAAACAGAGAACCAGCCAAAUUAACCCAGAUUUCUGAAGUAUAGACCUAUGAGAUAGUAAAUGGGAGUUAUUUUUAGCUGCAAAGUUUGCAGUAAUUUGUUAUAUAGUAAUAGAAAAUUAAUAAACUGAGAAUUGUAGUUUGCAGAGGAUAGCCCCUGUAACAUGGAACAGACAGGGGAAAGACAAUGAAUGGAUCUGGGAGCAAAUAAGCCAAUGGCCAGACAGACCUUAUCACAACUUUGUUUUGUACAUCCUUUAGCCUAGAUGUUUUUGGCAUGUAUGGCUCACUCUACGUUGUCUCAAUGAGUAAAGAGAUUUAUUUGUGAUGAUGACUGGGAUGUUAGGGAUUUCGGCUAAUUAUUGUUAGUUUUAUUGGAGAAAGACUUUGUUAAUUGGUGAAUGGCUAUGUGAGCCUUUUCUUUCUGUCUGAUUCUCUCCCCUCUGCUGUGGUGUUUGCAAUUGAGGAACAGCUACUAAGAGGUGGCAGCUGCAGAGAAAAGUCCAGAGCCAUACAGAUGAGGCUGGGAACUCUGACUAGCACUGAGUAUUUGAAAGAGAGCUUGGCGAAAGUCUGUUACUACAUGUAGCAGAUACCUGUGACUGCAUAUAGGGAGUGAAGGAGACAGCCAAAAGUGCACUUGAGGAUAACAAAUGGCCAGCCCCUACAUGAUCACUCAUGAAAAUCCAACAGAACCCAGAAGUCUCACUUAGCUUUAAAAAAUCCAUUAUUUUUUUCAGACAGAAGCACUUAGGGAAGCAAAAUGGCUUAUUUCAGCAUGAGAAAGCAAUGUAACAGUACAGCUAAGCUUUGAGGGUCUCCUGAUCAAAAAUUUGUGAGACUAAUAGCUUACACAGGAAAGAGAUGAUAGCCCUUUUGAAUGCCUUCUGAGCGCUCUUACGAGAUGCGCAAUCUAAUUGUGGUGUAAAUACCAGCUAUUGAUGGUGGGUUUUGUUCAUCGGGUUUGUGCUACCACAGUACCAGAGGUCUGUAUCUAUUAGUGCUAGUAAUGUAUGGAUGACCAGGGCUGGUGCAGACAUCUCUGCAGCAAUAAUAAAAGGUAAGAAGAUGCAGACAAAGCUGAAUUUAUUGUGUUUGAGAAGAUAUAGAAUUCAAUUUCCCUGAUAACCAAGCUUAAUUGCACAGAAUUAUGAGAGCUCAUUAAUGAAACCCAAUAUAGACAGUUUAUAUUAGUAAUGGCAUUACAUUGAUUAUCUAAUUUCAGAGUAAGGAAUUAAAGGGGGCCAAAUUAGGGAUUAUUCUGCUUUUACGUAACACCUGUAGUCAGGAAAAAUAAAUAGCUCCCGUUAUUAAACUAAAGCUUUUGUAUACAAAAGAAUGCUAGAUAAUAAAUGUAGAAAUAAUGAUGGAAAUAGAAAAUAUUUUUGCAAGACAUUAUGAAAUAAUCAAUCCAAACAAGGAUCAAUAAUGAAUGCUAAAACUGUUAGUUGAACAGUCAACAGAGAACCAGAUAUUCAAAAAGCACCAAAGUAUCACCCUUAAAAUAACAAGUAAUUUGCUAUUACUUGUUUAUAGCAAACGGAGGAAAAAGUACCCUUUACCAUGGAGAAAUAUGGCUAUUAUCACUAGGUAACUUACUAUCUGAUUGUCCCACUAUUAAUGAUGCUGUGUGACUUCUGAGGUAAUGCUUUAUAAAUUAUAUGACAGCACCUGUCAAUAAUAUUUAAGAGAUAAUGUUUAAGAUGGAAAUGGAAUCUAAAGGCUGGAUUAGAUUCAAGUUAAAGGAAAUUCAAAGCAGAGAAGAACAAAUUAAGGUACACUUGAACACAUUCAGAAUAUGGGACAGAAUAAGACAGCUGUUCUGGUCUCAAAAAAAAAAGUUAAUGACAAGGAAAAAAGGAAGAGGAGCUAGGUUAAGGGACUAAACAGGCAAAACCAAUUCAACAUGGGAUUCUUGAGUGGAUUUUGGUUUUUAAAAAAGCUUUAAAAACACUUUGGGUUAAUGGUGAAUUUUGAAUAUGGAAUAUUCAAAUAUCAGGCAGGGUCCUCGCAGGAAACCGAUGGCAAACUCAAAAGAACUUAAUCAUGAAUCAGUUAAAGAAGGGACUAUUGAGGGAUGUAGGCAGAGCUAAUGGAAUCAAUAGGGGGUGCUGAGGCACCCAGGGCGCAGCAGGGAAGCUGUCACCAACUGCUGUUAGACCCAAAGGAGCAGGCAUGGGGGCAGUUAUGAGUGUCUAGUCACAGCUGGAGCUGCUGAACAGAGUACAGCUUCACAAGGGAUACAGUGGCAGAUGCAGCCAGUACCGGACAAGGAACUCAGCAGGGAGGAGCAGAGAGAGUAUCCCAGCCACUCUCCCACCCUCUGAUCUCUUGCCAGGGCUCACCAUUGGCCUCUGAUGCCUUGUAGGUGCCUCCAGUUGGCUGACCCCAGUUGGAGUCCUGGCCACCCAUGGCAGUCUGUAGAAAUAAGCCUUUUGGAGCUGAGAGCAAAACAGAAAAAAGUGGAGAAUGCAUCUGGAGGUAGAAGGCAAAGGGAGAAUAAAGCACGACAAGUACAGAGUAGAUUAGAGAAUUACUGUUGAUUGUUAGAUGUAAUUGUCUUGUGAGAUCAGAGAAUGCUCAGUUUUUUUGUUUUUUUUUUAGAUGUACAUUGAACUAUUAAGGAAUAAAAUGUCAUAAUGCCUCAUUCAUUCUGAACUGAUUCAGCAAGAGAGACAGAUAGAUAAGUAGGUAGAUAGACUAGAUAUACAAAGCACAUAUAGACACAAGCUUUUUUCUUAUUUAUUGCUACCAACUUCAUGCAUCCAGCCUCCAAUCGUGUCAUGCCUAAAGAAACAAUCCCUGCCCCCGUUUCUUAGACCCAGUACCUGGCACAUGAUAAACGAUAAAAAAUAAGUUCUUACCCAUGCAUCCCUUUUUCAGUGGGAAUUAUACUUCUUGGCUGCCCCCUACACACUUCUAUUAUAAAGAAAUUUAUAUUGUUAUAUUUUUUCACCACAAGAAAAAUUAUCAGGUUUAAAGAGGGGGAUUAACUAAUGAUAAAGGUGUAAACAGUGCAAGAAGACUUAAUUAUUCUUAGCGUGUGUGUGGCUAACAACAGAGCACUAAAAUGAGUGAGGCAGAAACAGAUAAAAGUGCAAGGAGAAAUAGAUAAAUCCAGUAUCAUAGCUGGAGAAUCCAACACACCUUAAUAAGAAAUGGACAGAUCCAGCAGGCAGGAAAUCAGUGAGGACAUAGCUGAACUCAGUAGCAGUACCAAUCAACUAGAUAUGAUUGAUAUCGGUAGACUGUUUCACCUUACACAUUCUUCUCAAGCUCACAUGGAACAUUCACCAUAAUACACCACAUUCUAGGCCAUAAAAUGCACCUUAACAGUUUAAAAGACUAGAAAUCACACAUCUGCUUUCAGACCACAUUGUAAUUAAACUAGAAAUCAAUAACAGAAAGAUAGAGGCCUCAGCUCCUGCUGAUGAAAAAAUAAUAACUGAAGGAUAGCUAGAAAAUCCCAAAUACUUGGAGAUUAAGAAACACUCUUCUAAAUAAUAUAUGGAUAAGAAAAAAAUCUCAAGAGAACUUAAAAAAUGUUUCAAACUAAAUGAAAAUGAUAAUACAACUCAUUAAAAUUUGCAUAAUGCAGCAAAAACAGUACUUGGAAGGAAAUCUAUAGCAUUGAAUACAUAAACUAGAAAGGAAGAAAGAUCUACAAUAAUCUAAACUUCUAUUUUAGAAAACUUAAAAAUAAGAGCAAACCAAAUGCCAAAUAAGGAGAAGAAAAGACAAUGAAGAAUUAGAGCAGAAAUCAGUGAAAUGGAAAAUAGGAAAUUAAUAGACAAAAUCAAAAGUUAGUUCUUUAAAAAGAAUAUUAAAAUUGGUUACUCUCUAGGCCAAGAAAAAAAGAGAAGACACAAAUUAGAGUUGUCCCAUGAUAUCCCUGGGGAAUUGUUCCAGGACCCAACAUGGAUACCAAAAUUUAUGGAUGCUCAAAUCUCUUACAUAAAAUGGCACAGUAUUUACAUAUAGCCUACACACAUCUUCUCUCAUGCUUUAAAUCAUCUCUAGAUUACUUUUAAUACCUCACACAAUGUAAAUGCUAUGUAAAUAAUUGUUACAAUGUACUGUUUUAAAAUCUGUAUUAUUUUAUUCUAUUUUUAUUUUUGCUUUUCAAAAAAUACUUUUGAUCCAUGGCUGGUUGAUUUUAUGAAUGGGGAACCCAUGAAGAUGGAAGGCUGGCUGUACUAAUAUCAGAAAUGGAAGAGGAGAGACAUCACUAGAGAUCCCAUGGAUAUUGAAAGGAUAAUAAAGGAGUAUUAUGAGCAUUGUU